UUGCUGGCUUUGGCAGCAGGUAUACUGAAAUUGGAAGGAUACAGAGAAGAUUAGCGUGUCCCCUGCCCAAGGAUGACACGCAAAUUCGGGAAGCGUUCCAGCUCCCU
Molossus molossus (Pallas's mastiff bat) is the source of this 107-nucleotide small nuclear RNA. The record is from RefSeq and is a predicted model, not a curated record. NCBI's taxonomy places the organism in Eukaryota, Metazoa, Chordata, Mammalia, Chiroptera, Molossidae.